AACGCGAGAAAUAGAAGAAGAGUAGGGUAAAUUGAUGAUAGAAAAGAAAUCUAAAGGAGCAAGACAGGCGCAGAGAAGAAAGAAGGUCGUUUUUUCUGUGAGAAAUAAAGAAAAUG
Molecule: non-coding RNA, 116 nt
Organism: Caenorhabditis elegans
Lineage: Eukaryota; Metazoa; Nematoda; Chromadorea; Rhabditida; Rhabditidae
Source: Ensembl